UUAAUGAUACUUCUGUACGCAGCCACUGGAGUACCCAGGAGGGGGUGAGACGCCCAUGG
This 59-nucleotide non-coding RNA is filed under the name unclassified sequences. RNAcentral's name for it is "pemK RNA". It matches the Rfam family "pemK RNA". The record is from RNAcentral.